RNAcentral lists this ribosomal RNA (253 nucleotides) under uncultured bacterium. Its description in RNAcentral is "partial 16S ribosomal RNA". It matches the Rfam family "Bacterial small subunit ribosomal RNA", at positions 524 to 776 of the family's 1533-position model. The record is from RNAcentral.
UACGUAGGGGGCUAGCGUUGUCCGGAAUCAUUGGGCGUAAAGCGCGUGUAGGCGGUCCGGUAAGUCCGCUGUGAAAGUCGGGGGCUCAACCCUCGGAUGCCGGUGGAUACUGUCGGGCUUGAGUACGGAAGAGGCGAGUGGAAUUCCUGGUGUAGCGGUGAAAUGCGCAGAUAUCAGGAGGAACACCAAUUGCGAAGGCAGCUCGCUGGGACGUUACUGACGCUGAGACGCGAAAGCGUGGGUAGCGAAUGGG